AUGCAGGAAACGUUUCCCAUCUUUAUCCUGAUUGCAUCUGAACUGUUGGAUUUAUCUGGUGCCUCCAGAGACGAGCCCCACAUCAGUGGAGCACCAGGCCUGGGCUCUGCUGGAGGAGCCCAGCUGAGAGCCGAGAGCAGCCCGGUGCCCAGCGAGGAGCAACCCGUUACAGGAGCUGACUCGGAGGAGGUGACCUUCCACUUCCAGACUGCAGCAGUUGAUCCUACCAGUGAAAUGACAGCUGACCUCAUUACUGUCCACACAGAGAGAGCUCCAAGAGCAACAGCCACGCUGCCUAAGGAGGUGGUUAGAAACUUGGAGGGGUCUGAUCGACUACCUGCUGUAAAACUCCAGGAUGGAGACGCAUUUCCUAACAAUCUCCUGAGUAAUGUAAGUGUCCCCUCCUCUGCACAAGGAUCACAGGCUACCACCCAUCCAGAGCAGUCAGAGAGGUCAGUGCCAGGCAGAGCUCAAACUGUCCCUGAGGCUGCUCUCAGCCCGACCAGCAGUGCUGGGCUGCCCCAGCCCACUCCCACUGUGGGGGUGCACCAAGACUCUCAGGGGGUUGCAGACGUCUCUCCCAUUCCUGUUCUCAAGCAGACGGAGGUGCCAAGUCCUAAAAUUUCUCUUCUGACUUCAACGGUAAAUUUCCAUCCUCCAAGAAAAGAAACAGCAGCAUAUCCGUUUCCCACCAGCGUUAAGAUGGCUCUUGUAAAUGCAGGGGUGGGCCAGUUACCAACACGAGCACCCCCCACUACAAAAAGGCCAAAGGAUGCAAGUCCCCAAGUCCAGCCUGACAGCAGAGCUGCUGUGGCACCUGCAUACGUCAAGAGUGUGGAUGCUCAACUUACUACUUCUGUAAUCGCACAAAAGCCAGCUUCGGUCGGCCUUGAUGCAGCCUAUUUCAGAGCCAUGAAGACAACUGCUGUUCGGUUUCCCCCUCUUUUAUCUCUUAACCAAGAACCAGCAGGCAGUGAAGACAGAAACUCAGUAACAGCUGUAAUAAAGGGCUCUAGACACACAACUGUGUUGCCUGCUCUUCAGCAGCUCCUGCAAGGCACUGGGCACUCUUCUUCAUUACCAAUGCAUCCUGAAGCUCUAGGUCAUGAUGAUUUGAUUCCACCUCCAUUUCAAGGGGCCAUUAAUGUAGCUGGUAGACCACAGCCUCUCCUCUUGUCCCGGACUCUCAACUGUACUAAGCACCAUGCUUCACAUGACACUAACAGGAGCACUCAGGAAAGCACAGUCCCAGUUUUACAAAGAGAUGCUGAUCACCAGAUGAUGACAAGUAAGCCUGAAAAAUCCACAUCCUCUGAGAGUCCCUGGGCUUCUUCUAAUUCACCUUCAUUAGGGCAGUCACAAAUCUCCACGGUAAACCUCUCCCAGACUACUAGAGAGCUAAAAAGAGCCACAUUUCCACUCCUUCCAAGUGCAUCUACCUUUGAGAAGGCAGCCCUUCCACCUUUAAGCACUCCUGCUGCUGUUCACGCAGCACUUCAGCCACGAGCUACAUCUGUUCCUCCUUAUGCUGGAUUGCAGCCGAUGGGUGUCCCCACCUCUGCUGCGAGAGGACUCCACGUACUGACUUCAACUGCUGGUUCUGGGUCUCAGGUUCAAGGCGUUUCAGCCCAUCCUGGACCUCAGGAAGCAUUUGCUGUGAUGCCACAGAUGAGCACGGUGGAAGAUUCCAAGGGACAGAAAAGUCUUCCACAUCAGAUAGAUAAGGCUGGAUCUCCACUGACUCCACAAGCCAGCGUGGUCUCCAGCCCCUCUGGACUGCAUGAGGAGAACCAGAAAGCUUCUCGUGACAGCUCUGCCCCUUCAGCCUCCCCGAUCCAGCAUGCUGGCAGCCUGGAAGCUUUUGUUGCCAGAUUGCACCCACCCCACGCACAGGAAAGCCAGUCCAGCACAACAACAGCACGUCCUGAGCCAGCAGUGCCUAUUGUUUCUGAGAUCCCAGCACAUCUGGCCCAAGCACUGCUGCAGCAAUUUGGUGCAUCGCAUGAUGCAGCUACCAAAAACCUCAGCAUUUUCAGAACUGAUCACCCCAAAAUGUUCCCAUCGUACCUAUAUUUGUCCUUUCUGCUUAAGAAUACUGAUGGCAUGAUAUGCCUGCUUCCCAUGCAGGAGUCCCCUUUGCCUGCAAGUUUCCCUAAUAUCAGUGUUGGGACUCUGGUUUCUGUUCAGCAAAUCCUGGCAGCAUCAAAUUCUUCGUUAGUAGAUCUUGCAAACUUGCAAAAUGGGAGUCCUUCUAGCUUAAUUCUGGUUAAGCCUGUUUUUAUCCUUUUUCCCACGGACAGAGCAGACUUACAGAUGGUGCCCUCUCCUCAGGGUGAAGAUGACCACAGAAGUGCCCUCUUACUCACAAACAAGCAAGGUCUGACCAUGGUUACCAAUGGACACAGCCGAGAUAUCCCAGAGAAAACUAGCUCCUCGUAUCCCACUAGUGAGUCUCUGAGACCUCAGACUACUCUCUCCACUGCUUCUGACCAGCGAGCAGAGAAAGCAAAAGUAACUUCUCAGCCAGUGCUGACUUCUGCGAGUUACGUGGCCAUCCCUAGUUCCUUUCAAGCCACUGCCCCAGCAGCAGAUCACUUUCUGGACCUGCAGCUGAGGACGAGCACAGCAGCACAGGCUGCUCACCUGCAGGAGCUGCCCGAGGGGCUGCAGGCAGCGCCUGCCCCUUCCCCAGGGGCUGAGGUGCCUUCCCCUGGUGGUGCGGCAACCAAGCCUCCUGCCUCCCCAGGGCCACCAGUACUGGUGCCUGCACAGCAUAGCCGUACAGCCCCCACAGGAUUUUUAAAAGCUGAAAAGCCUCUUUCUUCUUCUCUAACCCCUUUGCUGUCAGCAGUGGGGCUCACUGGUCUUCCAAGGCCAGCUCAGCCUCCUUUUACUGUCGCAGGGGCUGGGGAUCAGGGGCAGCGUGGUAUGGGACUGGCGCUACAGACCACCACCCGUGGCUGGGGCUCAGUGAGCCCAUCUUCCUCUGCCCGAGCGCAGUGCACAGAGUGUUUGAGCUCAGCUGGAACUGUAAAAUAUCCAUUAAAGAUGUCCCCAAGCAUUGUGCCUUUGCCGUCCACGUCACAAAGUCAGCCAAGCACCGAGUCGCUCCGAAGGCUGCCGUCACAAGUUCCAUUUGUACCCAGCACCGUGUCGGCUUUCUCAGCAUUUCUAGCUGGAAAUGAUGGCAGAAGCUCAGCAGCAGACAGCACUGCUUCUUCUGGAGUCACUUUGCAUGCUAAAGCAGCAUCAGUCCCCCACACCUCUAUAAAACCUGAUCUCACCACGCACUUGGAAUUUAUUACCAUCGUGCCCAAGCCCAUUGUCAGGAUGGAGACCCCAACACCAGUACCAGCACGUACCCUGCUGGCAGGGAAGGUCAAAACAGCAGCUUCUGGGAAACUGCUGGUGACCAGCACCCCCCAGAGGAUGUACAGCACGUCCCCCAUGAGCCUGCCCUCACCGGUGUCUGUGCGAGUUCCCCUGCCAUCCGCUGCGAAACGUGACCAAAGCAGUCAAGCACCUUCUGCAUUGUCCUCACCGGCCAAUGUGGGAGAAAAUGGGAAACCAACCGAAGGUAGCACAAGCCCAAGAAAACGGGGAUUCUUGGGAACCAGCACAUCCCUGCCGGCCGUGUUUAGCACAAAGGCAGAGCAGCCCCCCGCAGCAGCUCUCGGCAGCCAGGCUGGUGUAGCUCCAGCACAGCCGUCUGCGGCUGCAGAGCCUGUGAUUGCUCUCGAGAGCGAGCCUAAAUUAACACAGACCACCUCGCUGUCUCCAUUAGCGGUGACUUCUCUCUCUGCAGCUAAGAAUGAUUAUAUCACCACUUCAGUUACCCCAAAAAAAGUGUUUUUCCUGCCAACAUCAGCUCUCCAAUCUGACCCAAACGUGGUGUUUCCUACAAUGACUGUAAUGAACAGCUCAGCUAAGGUCCCUGCAUCAGGGGCAAAGAGUGAGGAUGUGCUUCUGGAAGGGGACACAGCCACUGCCAGCCAGGAGCUCAGCCAAGCAGCCACGUCCUCAGCACCUCAGGCACAGGAGGAGAUGGUGCCCAGGGGAGCCAGCAUGGAGCAGGACGCUCUCCACUCCAGCCAGCACGCUGCUGGACAGCCCACGGGGCCACCUACAGCAAAAUCACUUUCUGUAGCUGCGAGUAAGGUUACCAGCGAGCCAGCUGCCUCAAAUAAAGCAGCUGAUGAUGAUGCUGAGACACUCCUAACCAGAGACCUGAGCCCCCUGCCUCCUACCACAGAGAGCCCCUCGCGCCCUGCGGGGGCCAUGGCAGCACGCACAGCGGUGAGCGAUCCCCAGCUGGGUGCCACGGGCACGGAAGCCAAGGAGGAUGCCGAGGAGGAGGCCGGACCACACUGGGUGACCCACAGAGCCCCCACAGGCUCAGAACCUGCCCUAACACCCCUGGGUUCGGAGCCCAGGGUGCUGCUGAGUGAAUCCCGGCAGAGGAGGGUUUUGCAGCAGGACGGUGCCGUUCUCAGCGGGAUUGCAGUUGUCAGCGACGAGGCCUGUGGCUCUGGCAACUACACGGUGCAGAUGAGCCUGCGCCCUGUGGCCGAAGCGAGCCCGGAGCUGCAGGGCUCAGCGCUUCCCCAGGACACCUUCCUGGCUUCCCUGGCCAUGCAGAGCAGCAGCAGCCAGCCCGUGCUGCGGGUCCGCUCCUGCUGCGUGACACCCUCCAGCAGCCCGGGGGGCCCCGGCGCCGUGUGCUGCCUCCUCCCCAGGCUGCUACCUGAAUGCAGACACAUCCAGCUGCUGCAGAGCAGCGAGCCCAGAGCUGCUAGCUUCACCAUCCAGCUGUUCCAGAUGCUGAAUCACUCGGUGGCUUAUUUGCACUGCGAGCUCAGUGUGUGUCUGCACGGCAAACCAGGCUGUGAACAGGUAUGUGGGCAGGGUCCGCCCUCACUGGCCUCAGGAUCUUUUGGAAACAUUUGGUGCUUCCAGCAAGUGCAGUCGAUGUAAAGUGCCUUGAAGGUAG
This is a long non-coding RNA of Cairina moschata (Muscovy duck), 4990 nucleotides long. The record is from Ensembl. NCBI's taxonomy places the organism in Eukaryota, Metazoa, Chordata, Aves, Anseriformes, Anatidae.